CAGAGUAUAGCUAAGAUAGAAAAGCAUCUCCCUUACACCGAGAAGUCAUCUGUGCAAAUCAGAUUACCCUGA
This 72-nucleotide transfer RNA is filed under the name Gymnapistes marmoratus. RNAcentral's name for it is "tRNA-Val". It matches the Rfam family "tRNA". Rfam says of the family: Transfer RNA (tRNA) molecules are approximately 80 nucleotides in length. Their secondary structure includes four short double-helical elements and three loops (D, anti-codon, and T loops). Lineage: Eukaryota; Metazoa; Chordata; Actinopteri; Perciformes; Tetrarogidae. RNAcentral also lists the same sequence under 2 other names. The record is from RNAcentral.